RNAcentral lists this ribosomal RNA (456 nucleotides) under uncultured bacterium. Its description in RNAcentral is "bacterial SSU rRNA". It matches the Rfam family "Bacterial small subunit ribosomal RNA", at positions 340 to 787 of the family's 1533-position model. The record is from RNAcentral.
UACGGAAGGCAGCAGUGGGGAAUAUUGCACAAUGGGCGCAAGCCUGAUGCAGCCAUGCCGCGUGUAUGAAGAAGGCCUUCGGGUUGUAAAGUACUUUCAGCGGGGAGGAAGGGAGUAAAGUUAAUACCUUUGCUCAUUGACGUUACCCGCAGAAGAAGCACCGGCUAACUCCGUGCCAGCAGCCGCGGUAAUACGGAGGGUGCAAGCGUUAAUCGGAAUUACUGGGCGUAAAGCGCACGCAGGCGGUUUUGUUAAGUCAGAUGUGAAAUCCCCGGGCUCAACCUGGGAACUGCAUCUGAUACUGGCAAGCUUGAGUCUCGUAGAGGGGGUAGAAUUCCAGGUGUAGCGGUGAAAUGCGUAGAGAUCUGGAGGAAUACCGGUGGCGAAGGCGGGCCCCUGGACGAGACUGACGCUCAGGUGCGAAAGCGUGGGGAGCAAACGAGGAUUAGGAUAACC